UCCUCCCUCUGGCGGCGUGCUUAACACAUGCAAGUCGAACGAAGAGCGAUGGAAGCUUGCUUCUAUCAAUCUUAGUGGCGAACGGGUGAGUAACGCGUAAUCAACCUGCCCUUCAGAGGGGGACAACAGUUGGAAACGACUGCUAAUACCGCAUACGAUCUAAUCUCGGCAUCGAGGAUAGAUGAAAGGUGGCCUCUACAUGUAAGCUAUCACUGAAGGAGGGGAUUGCGUCUGAUUAGCUAGUUGGAGGGGUAACGGCCCACCAAGGCGAUGAUCAGUAGCCGGUCUGAGAGGAUGAACGGCCACAUUGGGACUGAGACACGGCCCAGACUCCUACGGGAGGCAGCAGUGGGGAAUCUUCCGCAAUGGACGAAAGUCUGACGGAGCAACGCCGCGUGAGUGAUGACGGCCUUCGGGUUGUAAAGCUCUGUUAAUCGGGACGAAAGGCCUUCUUGCGAAUAGGGAGAAGGAUUGACGGUACCGGAAUAGAAAGCCACGGCUAACUACGUG
This 510-nucleotide ribosomal RNA is filed under the name uncultured bacterium. Its description in RNAcentral is "partial 16S ribosomal RNA". It matches the Rfam family "Bacterial small subunit ribosomal RNA", at positions 36 to 507 of the family's 1533-position model. The record is from RNAcentral.